CAAGUCGAACGCGAAAGUUUCCUUCGGGGAGCGAGUAGAGUGGCGCACGGGUGAGUAACACGUAGGUAAUCUACCUUUGGAUUGGGAAUAACAACCGGAAACGGUUGCUAAUACCGAAUAAUGCAGCGGCACCUAAUGGUGACAGUUGUUAAAGCGGGGGAUCGAAAGACCUCGCGUCUAAAGAGGAGCCUGCGGCGGAUUAGCUAGUUGGUAAGGUAAUGGCUUACCAAGGCGAUGAUCCGUAGCCGGCCUGAGAGGGCGGUCGGCCACACUGACACUGACAUACGGGUCAGACUCCUACGGGAGGCAGCAGUCGGGAAUUUUGGGCAAUGGGCGAAAGCCUGACCCAGCAACGCCGCGUGAAGGAUGAAAUCCUUCGGGAUGUAAACUUCGCAAGAACGGGAAGAAUAAGUAAGAGCUAACAUCUCUUAUGAUGACGGUACUGUUUGUAAGCUCCGGCUAACUCCGUGCCAGCAGCCGCGGUAAUACGGGGGGAGCAAGCGUUGUACGGAUUUACUGGGCGUAAAGGGCGCGUAGGCGGCCACUGCAAGUCAGUUGUGAAAUCUCCGGGCUUAACCCGGAAAGGUCAACUGAUACUGCAGGGCUAGAGUGCAGAAGGGGCAACUGGAAUUCUCGGUGUAGCGGUGAAAUGCAUAGAUAUCGAGAGGAACACCUGCGGCGAAGGCGGGUUGCUGGGCUGACACUGACGCUGAUGUGCGAAAGCUAGGGGAGCGAACGGGAUUAGAUACCCCGGUAGUCCUAGCCUUAAACGAUGAAUGCUUGGUGUCUGGGGUUUUAUAGUCCCCGGGUGCCGUCGCUAACGCUUUAAGCAUUCCGCCUGGGGAGUACGGUCGCAAGACUGAAACUCAAAGGAAUUGACGGGGACCCGCACAAGCGGUGGAGCAUGUGGUUUAAUUCGACGCAACGCGAAGAACCUUACCUGGGCUAGAAUGCCUCUGACCGCC
RNAcentral lists this ribosomal RNA (965 nucleotides) under uncultured Bacillota bacterium. Its description in RNAcentral is "bacterial SSU rRNA". It matches the Rfam family "Bacterial small subunit ribosomal RNA", at positions 58 to 999 of the family's 1533-position model. The record is from RNAcentral. Lineage: Bacteria; Bacillati; Bacillota.